CUGGGCGCGGGCCAAUCAGCGGGACUGGCGGGCGCGCGGGGACUGUUGGGCUCCUCAGAGGGUUUGAUGUUCAAGUUUGGGUAGGGCUCGGGCUGGGUUCCGGCUGCUACAGGAGGGAAAGGCGGGAGCCGGGGCGUCAGGGCCUGCGGACGAUGUGUGUGUGAAAGGGCGCGUCAGCCAUAAGAAGCCAUACGCGUGCGAGCCGGUCCCCACUGCCCCCGCGGCGUUGUCACCAUCAUCAUGAGGCCACUGGAGCAGCCUCGGGCGCUGCUGACGGGGAUCCGGGCGCGGGGUGCGUCGGGCUCUGCAGGUUGGCACUCACACCCAGCGCGCAGGAUGGCAGGCAAGUGCGUCCUGAAUCCUGCCCGCGGGCACCCGACACCGCGUCUGUGAGUUCCCGGCCCGGCAUUGCUGCAUUACCUGUACGUAGGCAGAACUCUUGACCGCCACCCACAGGAACCUCACUUGUAUUGGCAUAAGCACAAAAACGCAACUGGUGGUUCCACAUAACGGAAAAUAUCAGAAGUAGGCCUUCAGGCAUGGAUGUGUCCAGGAAUAGCACAUUUCAAACCUACAAGAAAGAAGUGUGCCUCCCAGGUCAUUCGAUGCACCCUGGCCCCUGGGCCAUCUGCUGUGAGUGCCAGACCAGAUUCGGGGGCCGCCUACCUGUGCCCAGGGUGGAAGCAGCACUGCCUUACUGGGUCCCUCUGUCCCUGAGACCCCGAAAGCAGAGUCAAAAGAUGGUUCAGUUUUAUAUCCCCCGAACCACCAAGAUGUGCCCCUGCCUAUGCCAUCGCUUUGGGGGCCGCCUCCCGAUGCCUAGGGACCAGGCAGUGAUGCCCUACUGGGUGCCCCAGGUUCUGAGGUCUCAGCAGCAGAUGGUCAGGAGGCAGGAGAGUUGGAAAGGCAUCCAAGCACCCCCGCUGGAUGCAUGCUCCUGGCACAACUGCUGGCGGAUCUGUGGUGACGCGCACCUGCUGCCCAAGUGCCAGCAGCUCCGGGCCCCCGACCAGGACGAGCUACCGGCUCCCCCAGUGUGUCUGCUGCGCCUUGCCCUCCUGACCCUCCUCCAGGCCAUCCCGAGGGUCAUUGUGGCCAUUCGCCAGUUUUUUGGGGUUUGAAGCUGGAAUCUUCAGCUACUGUCAAGAAUAUCCACAAAAAUAUGUCACAAUCAAGAUCUUUAACGAGAGUCCUCCAAUCAGGAGGCGUCUGUGACAGCCGCUGUUUUCUCAUAGAACAGAAUCCACACCCAGGAUUCAACCCAAAUUAUUUCUCAUCAGGGGGGACUUGUCCCCAUCUCCGUGUCCCUGGGGGAGGGCAGCCAUUUCCGAGUGUCUCUUCAGGGACAGCAGAUCCACUGGACAAGGGUCCGAAAAUGGUUUCAGCACCUGUGUCAGGAAUUGCUUAAUUCUGAAAGUCUCAUGAGAAGACAUGGCAAGAAGUGGAGUCAAGCACACAGCACAAUGGCAGAGAAAAGAAGAGCGGUGGGUGGCUA
This is an RNA transcript of Rhinopithecus roxellana (golden snub-nosed monkey), 1495 nucleotides long. It is a transcript of the gene named chromosome 20 C16orf95 homolog, with no coding region annotated. The record is from RefSeq and is a predicted model, not a curated record. NCBI's taxonomy places the organism in Eukaryota, Metazoa, Chordata, Mammalia, Primates, Cercopithecidae. The transcript has 9 exons.